This 492-nucleotide ribosomal RNA is filed under the name uncultured bacterium. RNAcentral describes it as "partial 16S ribosomal RNA". It matches the Rfam family "Bacterial small subunit ribosomal RNA", at positions 29 to 507 of the family's 1533-position model. The record is from RNAcentral.
AGUGAACGCUGGCGGUAGGCCUAACACAUGCAAGUCGAACGGCAGCACAGUAAGAGCUUGCUCUUACGGUUGGCGAGUGGCGGACGGGUGAGGAAUACAUCGGAAUCUACUUUUUCGUGGGGGAUAACGUAGGGAAACUUACGCUAAUACCGCAUACGACCUACGGGUGAAAUCAGGGGAUCUUCGGACCUUGCGCGAUUGAAUUAGCCGAUGUCGGAUUAGCUAGUUGGCGUGGUAAAGGCCCACCAAGGCGACGAUCCGUAGCUGGUCUGAGAGGAUGAUCAGCCACACUGGAACUGAGACACGGUCCAGACUCCUACGGGAGGCAGCAGUGGGGAAUAUUGGACAAUGGGCGCAAGCCUGAUCCAGCAAUACCGCGUGGGUGAAGAAGGCCUUCGGGUUGUAAAGCCCUUUUGUUGGGAAAGAAAAGCAGCAGGUUAAUACCCCGCUGUUCUGACGGUACCCAAAGAAUAAGCACCGGCUAACUUCGUG